RNAcentral lists this ribosomal RNA (253 nucleotides) under uncultured bacterium. RNAcentral describes it as "partial 16S ribosomal RNA". It matches the Rfam family "Bacterial small subunit ribosomal RNA", at positions 524 to 776 of the family's 1533-position model. The record is from RNAcentral.
UACGAGGGGUGCAAGCGUUGCUCGGAAUUAUUGGGCGUAAAGGGUAGGUAGGUGGUCUUGUUUGUCUGGGGUGAAAUCCUUGAGCUUAACUCAAGAAGUGCCUCGGAAACGGCAAGACUAGAGUCCUGGAGAGGGUCGUGGAAUUCCCGGUGUAGCGGUGAAAUGCGUAGAGAUCGGGAGGAACACCGGUGGCGAAGGCGGUUCUCUGGGCCUUACCUGACGCUGAGGAGCGAAAGCGUGGGGAGCGAACAGG